AUGCCGCCGGAACCACCUCUCCUACCAGUGCCUCCCCGGCCAGUGCUGCCCAGCGACCCCGGCGACAUGCAGCCCGUGUCGUCCUCGGCGACCCGAGACCCAACGCGGCCUCAGUUCCCCAUGCCGCCGCCCUCCUCGUCGGGAUCAAGGGCGCCACCGACGGAGCAGAUGAGCGAGUACAUCAAGAGGCCGAUAGCCUGCAUCAGGUGGUACGUGGCGCUGGAGAACGGCUACUUGGCCGAGCAGGAGAAGCUUCGGAUGGAGAUACAUUCAGGCUCUACAGGAAGUUGA
RNAcentral lists this ribosomal RNA (291 nucleotides) under Triticum aestivum (bread wheat). RNAcentral describes it as "partial small subunit ribosomal RNA". The record is from RNAcentral. Lineage: Eukaryota; Viridiplantae; Streptophyta; Magnoliopsida; Poales; Poaceae.